Molecule: ribosomal RNA, 467 nt
Filed under: uncultured bacterium
Lineage: Bacteria
Description: partial 16S ribosomal RNA
Rfam family: Bacterial small subunit ribosomal RNA
Source: RNAcentral
ACGCACGCUGGCGGCGUGCUUAACACAUGCAAGUCGAACGGAAAGGCCCUGCUUGUGUGGGGUGCUCGAGUGGCGAACGGGUGAGUAACACGUGAGUAACCUGCCCUUGACUUUGGGAUAACUUCAGGAAACUGGGGCUAAUACCGGAUAGGAGCUCCUGCUGCAUGGUGGGGGUUGGAAAGUUUCGGCGGUUGGGGAUGGACUCGCGGCUUAUCAGCUUGUUGGUGGGGUAGUGGCUUACCAAGGCUUUGACGGGUAGCCGGCCUGAGAGGGUGACCGGCCACAUUGGUACUGCGAUACGGCCCAGACUCCUACGGGAGGCAGCAGUGGGGAAUAUUGCACAAUGGGCGGAAGCCUGAUGCAGCAACGCCGCGUGCUGGAUGACGGCCUUCGGGUUGUAAACCGCUUUCGCCUGUGACGAAGCGUGAGUGACGGUAAUGGGUAAAGAAGCACCGGCUAACUCCGUG